Molecule: ribosomal RNA, 253 nt
Filed under: uncultured bacterium
Lineage: Bacteria
Description: partial 16S ribosomal RNA
Rfam family: Bacterial small subunit ribosomal RNA
Source: RNAcentral
GCCAGAGGGUGCAAACGUUGUUCGGAAUUACUGGGCGUAAAGCGAGUGUAGGCGGUUUCCUAAGUCGGAUGUGAAAGCCCCGGGCUCAACCCGGGAAGUGCACUCGAAACUGGGAGGCUAGAGUAUCGGAGAGGUUGGUGGAAUUCUCGGUGUAGAGGUGAAAUUCGUAGAUAUCGAGAGGAACACCGGUGGCGAAGGCGGCCAACUGGACGAAUACUGACGCUGAGACUCGAAAGCGUGGGGAGCAAACAGG